Small nucleolar RNA from Tachyglossus aculeatus (Australian echidna), 138 nucleotides. NCBI's taxonomy places the organism in Eukaryota, Metazoa, Chordata, Mammalia, Monotremata, Tachyglossidae. The record is from RefSeq and is a predicted model, not a curated record.
UCCCUCUCAGGGUUGCACCUGGAGAGGUUCCAGUACUCUACCAGUCUCGACUACAGGAGGGAGAGUCAAGCAGAGGCGUACCCAUUCCAUUCGUAACUUGGGCAGUGGCUAGUGAGUGGAAGGCAAUCUGCUACAUGU